Coregonus clupeaformis (lake whitefish) is the source of this 157-nucleotide long non-coding RNA. RefSeq lists it as uncharacterized. The record is from RefSeq and is a predicted model, not a curated record. Lineage: Eukaryota; Metazoa; Chordata; Actinopteri; Salmoniformes; Salmonidae. The transcript has 3 exons.
UCUACCAUCCAACUCACCAUGAUCAACCCCGUCUACCAUCCAGCUCACCAUAUUUUGAAAUGACAUGAUAUUGUUUGGCAGAAUGAACACAGUAUAGUGAAUAUUUUCCCAAACUGCGUUACCCACUCCAGUCAGCAGAUGACGAUGUGAGUCUUUC